ACUCCUACGGGAGGCAGCAGUGGGGAAUUUUGGACAAUGGGCGGAAGCCUGAUCCAGCAAUGCCGCGUGAGUGAAGAAGGCCUUCGGGUUGUAAAGCUCUUUCAGUCGAGAAGAAAAGGCUAUGCCGAAUAAGUAUAGUUAAUGACGGUAUCGAAAGAAGAAGCACCGGCUAACUACGUGCCAGCAGCCGCGGUAAUACGUAGGGUGCAAGCGUUAAUCGGAAUUACUGGGCGUAAAGGGUGCGCAGGCGGUACUGUAAGUCAGAUGUGAAAUCCCCGGGCUUAACCUGGGAAUUGCGUUUGAAACUACAGAACUAGAGUGUAAUAGAGGGAGACGGAAUUCCAUGUGUAGCAGUGAAAUGCGUAGAGAUAUGGAAGAACAUCGAUGGCGAAGGCAGUCUCCUGGAUUAACACUGACGCUCAUGCACGAAAGCGUGGGGAGCAAACAGGAUUAGAUACCCUGGUAGUCCACGCCCUAAACUAUGUCAACUAGUUGUUGGGCUUUAAAAAGCUUAGUAACGUAGCUAACGCGUGAAGUUGACCGCCUGGGGAGUACGGUCGCAAGAUUAAAACUCAAAGGAAUUGACGGGGACCCGCACAAGCGGUGGAUUAUGUGGAUUAAUUCGAUGCAACGCGAAAAACCUUACCUACCCUUGACAUGUCAGAAAGUUUUCAGAAAUGAAAGCGUGCUCGAAAGAGAAUCUGAGCACAGGUGCUGCAUGGCUGUCGUCAGCUCGUGUCGUGAGGUGUUGGGUUAAGUCCCGCAACGAGCGCAACCCUUGCGAUUAAUUGCCAUCAUUGAGUUGGGCACUUUAAUGAGACUGCCGGUGACAAACCGGAGGAAGGUGGGGAUGACGUCAAGUCCUCAUGGCCCUUAUGGGUAGGGCUUCACACGUAAUACAAUGGCG
RNAcentral lists this ribosomal RNA (907 nucleotides) under uncultured beta proteobacterium. RNAcentral describes it as "bacterial SSU rRNA". It matches the Rfam family "Bacterial small subunit ribosomal RNA", at positions 335 to 1235 of the family's 1533-position model. Lineage: Bacteria; Pseudomonadati; Pseudomonadota; Betaproteobacteria. The record is from RNAcentral.